UACAGAGGUCUCAAGCGUUGUUCGGAUUCAUUGGGCGUAAAGGGUGCGUAGGUGGCGGGGUAAGUCAGGUGUGAAAUUUCGGAGCUCAACUCCGAAACUGCAUUUGAUACUGCGUGGCUAGAGGUAGGUAGGGGAGAUCGGAAUUCCUGGUGUAGCGGUGAAAUGCGCAGAUAUCAGGAGGAACACCGGUGGCGAAGGCGGAUCUCUGGGCCUUACCUGACGCUCAGGCGCGAAAGCUAGGGGAGCGAACAGG
RNAcentral lists this ribosomal RNA (253 nucleotides) under uncultured bacterium. Its description in RNAcentral is "partial 16S ribosomal RNA". It matches the Rfam family "Bacterial small subunit ribosomal RNA", at positions 524 to 776 of the family's 1533-position model. The record is from RNAcentral.